RNAcentral lists this ribosomal RNA (468 nucleotides) under uncultured bacterium. RNAcentral describes it as "bacterial SSU rRNA". It matches the Rfam family "Bacterial small subunit ribosomal RNA", at positions 335 to 799 of the family's 1533-position model. The record is from RNAcentral.
ACUCCUACGGGAGGCAGCAGUGAGGAAUAUUGGUCAAUGGAGGGAACUCUGAACCAGCCAUCCCGCGUGUAGGAAGACGGCCUUAUGGGUUGUAAACUACUUUUAUACGGGAAUAAACCUCUCUACGUGUAGAGAGCUGAAGGUACCGUAAGAAUAAGGACCGGCUAACUCCGUGCCAGCAGCCGCGGUAAUACGGAGGGUCCAAGCGUUAUCCGGAUUUAUUGGGUUUAAAGGGUCCGCAGGCGGGAUAUUAAGUCAGUGGUGAAAGCCUACAGCUUAACUGUAGCACUGCCAUUGAUACUGGUAUUCUUGAGUGUGGUUGAAGUGGGCGGAAUAUGUCAUGUAGCGGUGAAAUGCAUAGAUAUGACAUAGAACACCUAUUGCGAAGGCAGCUCACUAAGCCAUUACUGACGCUCAGGGGACGAAAGCGUGGGUAGCAAACAGGAUUAGAUACCCUGGUAGGCUCUG